UUAUUGAAAAAUAAAAAAUAAGCACUUGUUUUUCGGAAUAGGAAAUGCGCCAAGCCAUAAUCUCUCAAACUCUGUUUUUCAAUUUCAUUUCCAUUUUCAGAGUUUCUCUCAAAGUUUCUCGUGCAUUUCCAGAGUUUCUCGUGCUUGAAAGUUUCUCUCUUCGCCAUCGCCAUAAUCUCUCUUCGCCAUCGACAUAAUCUCUCUUCUCCAUGGAUUAAAGGGUUUACUGAUAAUUUGAGGCUCUCUUCAAUGUCUUCACAUGAUAAAUUGCCUGGGCUUUUGGAUCAGCGUUACAGAGGCAUUGCUCGAGGAGUAGGUCAAUAUGAGAUAUUGGUUUGAUACAUGUAGCUCCAAUAAAGGAAGAAUUCCCAUAUGGAAUUGUAGUCAGAUUUUAGCUGUCGAUUGCACCUCAGGAUUGAGCCAUUGUAUCUUUUAGUUGUUAUUUUCUAUUGUUACUAUAUCCUAAUAGCUCGAUUCUAAUUUCAUUAUUACAUUCUGUUUAUUCCAUGUAGAUUGGGAGUCAAUUUUAUCCGUGCUGCUUUUUGGUGCUAGAUUCUCCCAAUAUGUAAUUUCUUUAUGGGCUUGAUAUGCUUCGCAAGCACCAGGCAGCCUCGGCCUUUGGACUUUUUCUCUAAUAGUUUUCUUUGAGCUUUGUUAGUUAAGUGUACCUGUAUUAUCUAAUGUUAGCUAAUAUCUGCAGUGCAUUAUGAAUGUGAAAGAGAAUCUUUUGAAAGUUGCCGGUGGAGAAGUUUCUGUACCAUUUUUGCAAGGUUAGUCAUCUGGUUUUCCAUUUUUCUCCGUGAUUCGUAAUGUCUGAAAUUGUUUCAUCUACAAAAUAACAACUACAAAACAAAUGGCUGACUGUAUACUACGCCACGCCACCGUAACUUGUUAUUCGUCACUGCUAAGUGAUAGCCUAUGGUAGUGCCACCCAUCCUUUUUUUAUUAUUUAAUGUGAUGGCAUCUGAUUAAAUAUAUGUAAGUUUGUUUUGGAAUAAUUUAUUGUCUUCAAGCUAAUGUGAUUAGAUAUUAGAAAUCUUAAGACCUAUUUUUGAUGCUUUAACAAUGCAGCUGUGCUUUUUAUCUCCAUCUUAAACACACUUAAAAUCUUUAUUACCCUACACUAAUAUUUGAUGGCAUGGAUAUAGGCUAAUUAGUAAAUCGGUUAUUCUUUAAACCUUAGUAGGCCACCUGGCAUAAGAAAUACUAUUCAAAAUCAGCUUGGCCGCCUUUGUACAUGUGAGUAAUAAAUCACGUCUCAAGUGAAUCUGAUGGCAAAUGAACCAAGUGAAAAAUCGGAUUCUGAAAGCGCUAAAUUUUGAGUGACAGCUCCUCUAGUUAAGUACUCGUUCUCUUGCACAUUUAUCUCAUUAAGUUAUGUUUGCAAAUUUUGAGUAUUAUUGUUUGUGGUUUUGCAGGAUAUGAGGAAGAUAUUUGUGGAAAAUGGUUCUGUAGUAGAAAAGGCGCUCAAUGUUUAGUAGUAUAAUUGUUAUUUUUGAUGAAUAUUUUAGUGAACAUUUUCUGUUUGUGAUGUAAUGGA
This is a long non-coding RNA of Mercurialis annua (annual mercury), 1540 nucleotides long. RefSeq lists it as uncharacterized. NCBI's taxonomy places the organism in Eukaryota, Viridiplantae, Streptophyta, Magnoliopsida, Malpighiales, Euphorbiaceae. The transcript has 3 exons. The record is from RefSeq and is a predicted model, not a curated record.